RNAcentral lists this ribosomal RNA (439 nucleotides) under uncultured bacterium. RNAcentral's name for it is "partial 16S ribosomal RNA". It matches the Rfam family "Bacterial small subunit ribosomal RNA", at positions 339 to 795 of the family's 1533-position model. The record is from RNAcentral.
CUACGGGUCGCUGCAGGGGAUAUUGCGCAAUGGGCGAAAGCCUGACGCAGCAACGCCGCGUGAGGGAAGAAGGCCUUCGGGUCGUAAACCUCUUUUCUUGGGGAAGAAGAAAGUGACGGUACCUGAGGAAUAAGUCUCGGCUAACUACGUGCCAGCAGCCGCGGUAAGACGUAGGAGGCGAGCGUUAUCCGGAAUUACUGGGCGUAAAGGGCGAGUAGGCGGCUCGUUAAGUUUAUGGUGAAAUCUCCCGGCUCAACUGGGAGGGGGUCAUAGAAACUGGCGGGCUUGAGGGCAGCAGAGGGAGGUGGAAUUCCCGGUGUAGUGGUGAAAUGCGUAGAUAUCGGGAGGAACACCAGUGGCGAAAGCGGCCUCCUGGGCUGCAUCUGACGCUGAGGAGCGAAAGCGUGGGGAGCAAACAGGAUUAGAUACCCGGGUAGUC